RNAcentral lists this transfer RNA (69 nucleotides) under Loxodonta africana (African savanna elephant). It matches the Rfam family "tRNA". From Rfam's summary of the family: Transfer RNA (tRNA) molecules are approximately 80 nucleotides in length. Their secondary structure includes four short double-helical elements and three loops (D, anti-codon, and T loops). Lineage: Eukaryota; Metazoa; Chordata; Mammalia; Proboscidea; Elephantidae. The record is from Rfam by way of RNAcentral.
ACUCUGGUGGCACAAUGGUUAAGCAUUUGGCUGCUAAUCAAAAGGUGGGUGGUUCAAAGCCACCCAGUG